CAUGGAACCUGCAGGAACUAACCAUGUGGACAGAUGAAAAAUGUAUUUGUCUCCAAAUUGCAGUGAUCCUACAUAAGCAUGGUGGCUUCUGUCCGGCUUAGGACAGCUGAGUUUGAUCCUCUCCCUCCUCACAGG
Non-coding RNA from Artibeus jamaicensis (Jamaican fruit-eating bat), 135 nucleotides. RefSeq annotates it as small Cajal body-specific RNA 3. The transcript has a single exon. The record is from RefSeq and is a predicted model, not a curated record. NCBI's taxonomy places the organism in Eukaryota, Metazoa, Chordata, Mammalia, Chiroptera, Phyllostomidae.